Molecule: ribosomal RNA, 253 nt
Filed under: uncultured bacterium
Lineage: Bacteria
Description: partial 16S ribosomal RNA
Rfam family: Bacterial small subunit ribosomal RNA
Source: RNAcentral
UACGGAGGAUCCAAGCGUUAUCCGGAAUCAUUGGGUUUAAAGGGUCCGUAGGCGGUUUGGUAAGUCAGUGGUGAAAGCCCAUCGCUCAACGGUGGAACGGCCAUUGAUACUGCCAGACUUGAAUUAUUAGGAAGUAACUAGAAUAUGUAGUGUAGCGGUGAAAUGCUUAGAGAUUACAUGGAAUACCAAUUGCGAAGGCAGGUUACUACUAACUGGAUUGACGCUGAUGGACGAAGCGUGGGUAGCGAACAGG